This 84-nucleotide transfer RNA is filed under the name Desulfosarcina widdelii. Its description in RNAcentral is "tRNA-Leu". Lineage: Bacteria; Pseudomonadati; Thermodesulfobacteriota; Desulfobacteria; Desulfobacterales; Desulfosarcinaceae. The record is from RNAcentral.
GAAGUAAGUCAAUGGGUAAAAAUUCAAGGUUCAGGGUCUAGUUGGGGUUCCCCAGUGGGAGUUCGAGUCUCCCCUUCGGCACCA